Molecule: RNA transcript, 1864 nt
Organism: Canis lupus familiaris (dog)
Lineage: Eukaryota; Metazoa; Chordata; Mammalia; Carnivora; Canidae
Gene: NAAA
Gene name: N-acylethanolamine acid amidase
Exons: 5
Source: RefSeq, a predicted model, not a curated record
UCUCAUUCAUUCAUAUUGUACUUUUCUCUUCUCUCAGAUUCUGCACCAGUAUCGUGGCUCAAGACUCCAGAGGCCACAUUUACCAUGGCCGGAAUCUGGAUUAUCCUUUUGAAAAUUUCUUGAACAAGCUGACCGUGGAUGUGCAAUUCAUAAAGAAUGGGCAGGUCGCAUUCACAGGAACCACGUUUGUUGGCUAUGUAGGAUUAUGGACUGGUCAGAGUCCAUACAAGUUUACAGUUUCUGGAGAUGAACGAGACAAAGGCUGGUGGUGGGAGAAUGUGAUCGCUGCCCUUUUUCAGAGACACUAUCGGAUCAGCUGGCUUAUCCGUACUCUACACAGUUUAUACUACAGUGAUGACUGCUGCCAGCCCAGAGAAGUACAUGACUAGGAUCAGAAACCUGGGUUAAAACCUCUAGAGUUGUGUGGUUCUGAACACCUGUCCCGAGGAAGCAGCUCUCACAGAUGUUGCUUAAAUGUCAGGACUCAAAGGAGCGCACAACUGCGUUGCAGAAUUUGACUUUUUGUUUUCCCGCACGUACAAGAAAGAAACGUCUCUGAGGAUGAAGUGAGAAAAGGUUAAAAUCCAUGAACAGUGAAUCAGUGGGAUGUUUUUGUUUAGUGAACUAGCAAGAGCAAAGGAAAAUGGAAUGAGUGGAGGGAAGUGUUAGCCAGGCGCUGGUCACCCCGCUUCACCAUAAUGCACAUACCUCACUAGUGGCCCAGAGCAGUCAUGUGUCUUCUUGGGCAGUGUUGGAUCCACAUAGUUAAAUUUCCAUCAUCUAACGCCCUUUUUAAAAAUCAAACAUCAAGAGUAGCUUACUCUUGCCAGACAUGUUGAACUGUGAUGAAGACUAGAAACUUCUACUUAUUAGUCACUUCCAUUCCUGUUUUCUAGACUACAGACCGUGACCUUUGGAUGGAAAUUUGGGGAAUUACCCUAAUUUUAACCAGGCAUUGAGGACUUUUCAGCAGGAGAGGGAUUUAAGUAAUCUAAAUUUCUGUUGUUUUUAAGACCUGUGUUCCUUAUGCCCUGUGGUUUCACUACAGUGGGUCUAGAUGUAGAUUUCUUGUUAUUUAGCUUGCUUAGGAUUUGUUAUGCUUUUCAGAUUUCAAAUUUAUCUCUUUUAUUCAAGUUUGGAAAGUGCUCAGUUACUCUUCUGUGACUGUCCUAUAUUCUCUUAAGUCUUCUCUCCUAAACUCCCAAGCAUAUGUGUUUUCAUGCUUUCUAUCCUCUGUCUCAGCCCUCUGGUAUUUUGGAGGGGAGAAAAAUAGGAGGGGGUAGAUUUCUCUCUUGAUGACAUAUUCCAGGUAAUGUCUUUAUUUUUUUCUGUAAAAUCAAAUAUUUCUUCAGUGGAUCUAUUGAGUUUUUAAUAUCAAGGAUUGAUUAUGCUUGUUUGUUUGUUUAUUUUAGAGAGAGAGAGCAUGAGCCAGAGGGAUAGAGAGAGAAGGAGAGGGAACCUCAAGCACACUCCCUGCUGAGCACAGAGCCUGAUGCAGGGCUUGAGAUCACGACCUGAGCUGAAACCAAGAGUAGGACACUUAACGGACUGAGCCACUCAGGCAUCCCUAUUUAUUUAUUUUUUAAAAGAUUUUAUUUUAAGUAACCUCUGCAUCCAGCAUGGGGCUUGAACUUAGAACCACCAGAUCAAGAGUUGCAUGCUUUACUGACUGAGCCAGCCAGAUGCCCCUCAAGGAUGAUAUUUUUAUUUUAGAUGGGCUAUUUGCUACUUUUUCAAACUGCUGGGAUUUUUGUUGGAUAGUAUCUGUUCCUUGCUUUGGUUUGUUUGUUUGUUUUUGUUAAACUUCUUAACCCAUACUUAUUUUAAACUUUUCUUUUUUUUUAAUUUUUAUUUAUUUAUGAUA